This 326-nucleotide ribosomal RNA is filed under the name uncultured soil bacterium. RNAcentral describes it as "bacterial SSU rRNA". It matches the Rfam family "Bacterial small subunit ribosomal RNA", at positions 26 to 351 of the family's 1533-position model. The record is from RNAcentral.
AGGACGAACGCUGGCGGCGUGCUUAACACAUGCAAGUCAAGGGGGGCCGCAAGGUCAACCGGCGAACGGGUGCGUAACACGUGAGCAACCUGCCUAAGUGUGGGGGAUAGCCGGCCCAACGGCCGGGUAAUACCGCAUACGAUCACUAUUUGGCAUCAUUUGGUGAUGAAACUUUCGAGGCACUUAGAGGGCUCGCGGCCUAUCAGUCUUGGUUGGUGGGGUAAUCGGCCUACCGAAGGCCUACGGACGGGUAGCUGGUCGUGAGAGGAGUGGCCAGCCACGUAGUUGGGACUGAGACUACCGGCCCAGACCGUCCGUACGGGACG